Molecule: ribosomal RNA, 256 nt
Filed under: uncultured Thauera sp.
Lineage: Bacteria; Pseudomonadati; Pseudomonadota; Betaproteobacteria; Rhodocyclales; Zoogloeaceae
Description: partial 16S ribosomal RNA
Rfam family: Bacterial small subunit ribosomal RNA
Source: RNAcentral
GUCGUAGGGCACUCUAAUGAGACUGCCGGUGACAAACCGGAGGAAGGUGGGGAUGACGUCAAGUCCUCAUGGCCCUUAUGGGUAGGGCUUCACACGUCAUACAAUGGUCGGUACAGAGGGUUGCCAAGCCGCGAGGUGGAGCCAAUCCCUUAAAGCCGAUCGUAGUCCGGAUCGUAGUCUGCAACUCGACUACGUGAAGUCGGAAUCGCUAGUAAUCGCAGAUCAGCAUGCUGCGGUGAAUACGUUCCCGGGUCUU